RNAcentral lists this ribosomal RNA (522 nucleotides) under uncultured bacterium. RNAcentral's name for it is "partial 16S ribosomal RNA". It matches the Rfam family "Bacterial small subunit ribosomal RNA", at positions 28 to 507 of the family's 1533-position model. The record is from RNAcentral.
GAUGAACGCUGGCGGCGUGCCUAAUACAUGCAAGUCGAACGCUUAGUCUGUAAUUGAUAUGAGUAGCUUGCUCUGAUUAGAUUUUAUCUGACAAAGAAUGGCGAACAGAUAAGUAACACGUGGAUAACCUACCUCUUAUCAGAGCAUAACAUCUGGAAACAAGUAAUAAUACCGUAUAACACUAACAACCUCAUGGCUGUUAGGUGAAAGAUAGUUCUGCUAUCACUAAGAGAUGGACCCGCGGUGCAUUAGCUAGUUGGUAAGGUAAUGGCUUACCAAGGCGAUGAUGCCUAGCCGAGUUCAGCGACUGAUCGGCCACAGUGGGACUGAGGCACGGCACAUACGCCUACGGGAGGCAGCAGUAGGGAAUCUUCCACGAUGGGCGCAAGCCUGAUGGAGCAACGCCGCGUGUGUCAUGAAGGCUUUCGGCUCGUAAAAAACUGUUAUAAGCGAAGAACGACAUUGAGAGUAACUGUUCAGUGUGUGACGGUAUCUUAUCCGAAAGGAACGGCCAAAUACGUG